AAAAGUAUUGCUACCCUGCGAGUCGAGAGGAGAAAGACCUCGAGCAUACUGCUCAGUAACACGUGGAUAAUCUGCCCUCAGAUGAGGAAUAAUCCCGGGAAACUGGGGCUAAUGCCUCAUAGGAGACGGGUGCUGGAAUGCUCUGUCUCUGAAAGGUCCGCCGUCUGAGGAUGAGUCUGCGUCCGAUUAGGUUGUUGUUGGGGUAACGGCCCACCAAGCCAUUGAUCGGUACGGGUUGUGGGAGCAAGAGCCCGGAGAUGGAUUCUGAGACAUGAAUCCAGGCCCUACGGGGCGCAGCAGGCGCGAAAACUUUACAAUGCGAGCAAUCGUGAUAAGGAAACCCUGAGUGCCUGUCAAUGCAGGCUGUUCUGGUGUUUAGUCCGCACCAGGAGAAAGGGCGGGGCAAGACCGGUGCCAGCCGCCGCGGUAAUACCGGCUGCUCGAGUGAUAGCCACUUUUACUGGGCUUAAAGCGUUCGUAGCUUGGUUCGUUAAGUCUCUGGGGAAAUCUUCUGGCUUAACCAGAAGGCGUCUCAGAGAAACUGGCCGACAUGGGACCGGGAGAGGUAAGACGUACUUCGGGGUAGGAGUGAAAUCUGUAUCCUCGAGGGACGACCGAUGCCGAGGCAUCUACCAGACGGCUUCGACAGUGAGGACGAAGCUGGGGGAGCAACCGAAUAGAACCCGGGUAGUCCAGUCGUAACGAUGGGCCGUAGGUUGUGUCAGUGGACCCCAGUCCUGGAGGUGCACGGAUCUGGAACGUACCGCUUGGCGUCGGUCGAGGUUGACCUUAGGAUUGGCGGGAGAUCCUAACCGGUGGAACUCGGCGUUAUGGAUCCAGCCGCA
RNAcentral lists this ribosomal RNA (845 nucleotides) under Methanocalculus sp. LA3. RNAcentral describes it as "bacterial SSU rRNA". It matches the Rfam family "Archaeal small subunit ribosomal RNA", at positions 34 to 922 of the family's 1478-position model. Lineage: Archaea; Methanobacteriati; Methanobacteriota; Methanomicrobia; Methanomicrobiales; Methanocalculaceae. The record is from RNAcentral.